RNAcentral lists this ribosomal RNA (247 nucleotides) under uncultured archaeon. RNAcentral's name for it is "partial 16S ribosomal RNA". It matches the Rfam family "Archaeal small subunit ribosomal RNA", at positions 691 to 937 of the family's 1478-position model. The record is from RNAcentral.
CCGACGGUGAGAGGCGAAAGCUGGGGGAGCAAACCGGAUUAGAUACCCGGGUAGUCCCAGCCGUAAACGAUGUGCGUUAGGUGUAUCGGUGACCACGAGUCACCGAGGUGCCGAAGAGAAAUCGUGAAACGUACCGCCUGGGAAGUACGGUCGCAAGGCUGAAACUUAAAGGAAUUGGCGGGGGAGCACCACAACAGGUGGAGCCUGCGGUUUAAUCGGACUCAACGCCGGAAAACUCACCAGAUAA